RNAcentral lists this ribosomal RNA (352 nucleotides) under Hyderodes shuckardi. RNAcentral describes it as "partial 12S ribosomal RNA". The record is from RNAcentral. Lineage: Eukaryota; Metazoa; Arthropoda; Insecta; Coleoptera; Dytiscidae.
UUUAAAUGUAAAAUUAAAAUACUAAAGUAGUAAUAGUUAAGUUCUUUAAAUUUAAAAAUUUUGGCGGUAUUUUAGUCUAUUCAGAGGAACCUGUUCUAUAAUUGAUAGUCCACGAUUUAAAUUACUUAAUUUAAAAAUUUGUAUAUCGUCGUGUUUAAUGAUUUUAUAAGAAUUAAAAUUUUUAAUAUUUUAUAUUAAAAAAUAUAUCAGAUCAAGGUGCAGUUUAUAAUUAAGAAGAAAUGGGUUACAAUAAAUUUAUUUAAACGGAAAAAUAUAUUUAAUUAUGUUUUGAAGGAGGAUUUGAUAGUAAUAAAAUUUAUAUAAAUUUUAUGAUUAUAGCUCUAAAAUAUGU